This 372-nucleotide ribosomal RNA is filed under the name Triticum aestivum (bread wheat). Its description in RNAcentral is "partial small subunit ribosomal RNA". Lineage: Eukaryota; Viridiplantae; Streptophyta; Magnoliopsida; Poales; Poaceae. The record is from RNAcentral.
AUGUCCAUCAUGGCCAAACAAACCAAUAGCAACCGAAGGCAGCAGGGUGCGGGGAAAGGCUUGAGCGACGAGGAUGCCAUGGGCAUGCAACGGAGCGAAGGGGGCGCCGGGGCUCAGGGACGGCAUGGACGGGCAGAAGCGCUCAGGAUCGAGCUCCUCUCAAUCCAGAGCAUGGCUGCGGGCGCGAGACGGAGGUGGAGGCCCGACGAGAUCGGCAGCUUAGGCCUCCAUGGUGGCAGCGAAAGUCCUCUGAUGGACUUGGGCGACGGUGCGGUCGGGAGCCGUAGAGGAAGGGGAGUGGCCCUGGCCACGAGGUGCAGCGGCGGGAGCUUCGAGCUCGGCUGGCUGCGGCCAUGGAGGACGGGGCGCUAA